RNAcentral lists this long non-coding RNA (35300 nucleotides) under Ananas comosus (pineapple). RNAcentral describes it as "long non-coding RNA (ACOM_LNC000360)". Lineage: Eukaryota; Viridiplantae; Streptophyta; Magnoliopsida; Poales; Bromeliaceae. The record is from RNAcentral.
UCCACAAAAAAAAAAGUCGAAUAAUUAAUGAAAUCAGUACUUUGUAUUUUCCAAGGAAGCUGUGCCGCUGUCCAGUUGUCAUCAUGUCGACAUCCCUGUCUAGAGUAAUCUUCACUGCUGUUCUUAAAUGAUAUGAUGCUACAGAUGCCGCAGCUGCAAAGAAGGAAGCUCUGGUUUCUUUCCCACCAAAUCCACCACCAAUGCGCUUUGUCUUGCAAACGACUUUCGAUAAUGGUAGAUCAAGAACAUUGGCAGCAUACUCCUGGUUCUUUUGAGGUGCCUGAGCACCAAGAAGAAGGGUUGUGAAACAUUAGACCAAUUUAAGAUCCGUAAAUAAAUUUAUUAAAUUUACAAGCGGCAUGAGAAUUAAGUAAAUUUAUUGCAAGAAACUUGCCUCAGGGAAAUGAACGCUAUUUAAUUUAUUGAUAUCAUCUUACAAUAAAAGUUCACUAGAAAUUUUCAGUGACACUUGGAAAUAAAUCAACAUUGCUUUGAUCAAAUAUGAUUUCACCAAACAACCAAAACUAGAUCCAUGUGUGACUAGGUACCCAGCUGAAGUCAUAAUAGUUUUCUUUUAAGUUUGAUCUCAUAAGAAAAAAGGAUUUCUCAGAAGUUACUCCUUUGCACUUCGUUUGUACAAAGGAGUAAGUUUGAAAGAAAUUCGCUUAUCUUUUAAUUAUUCUCUUAUCAUUUAGUAAUAUAUCAUGAUUUUCGGAGAUAGGCAAGUCCUAUUAUAUCCUUGGUCAACAAAAGCAUAACAAACAGUUAAAAGGAAAUAAUAUAAAUAUAUAGAAUAAGAGCUUUCAGAAACCACCAGAAAUGGUGCAGACCAUCAAACAGCAUAGGCAUGUCGAUAUCAAAAGCAAAGUCACAUAAAGUUAUAACAAGUAUAGUCCCUGAAGUUUGACCCAGAUUCCAACUUUGUUCUUAGUUGCAAUAAAAGUAGCCCUGAAGUUUGAUUUGCUAUCAAAUUAGUCUACAAAGUUCUAUUUUUAAAAAUUUAGUUCCUACCAUCUGAACAUAAUUUCAAUUUCAUUCAUAAAGUUUUUGAGUUAACAAAGCAAAGUCUUAGUGUUUGAAUGGAACCUUUUUUGAUGAUAGAUUAACAUAAGAACAUAAAUGUUAUGCAGAACAAACUUUAGGGGUUAAUUGUUAAGAAUGAAACUAAGAGGAUGAAAUUGAAAUGAAGGUUGACUCACAGAGACUAACUUUGUAACUAACCGUAUAGCUUAUCAUAUGGAUAGAAGCAAAAAGAGUGGAACAUACUUGUGUAGAGGAGAUCAUAUGUACUUCAUUUCCAGCAUCAACUGUCCAGACCAGACUGCUCUGAGGCUCCAAGUAAAAGUGCUCUUGACCUCCAACCUGAACUUCCCCUUCUAUAAUCUUGUCGCAUGAAGACUUGAAACACCAUUCCACAUCUCCCUUUACCAAGGACCUUGCAGUGUUAGGAUGAAAACUGCCAGAAUCAACAGCUUCUCUUAUAGACAAGAUUGCUGGCAAGUCUUCAUAUUUAAUCUCCACAUUACUUGCAGCAGCUUUUGCAUUUUCAUGAGUAUCCGCCACAACAAUCCCGAUAACCUAUAAAGGAUAAUAGCAUACUAGUGCACUGAGACUUUUCAAUUCACACGGUUGUAACAGCAAAUUUUUUGCUUAAAUGGGUAACUAUACAAAUAUGAUGUAUUUGUGGGGUAUAUGUGAAAAAGCACCAAAAAAGAAGCACUGAAUAGAGGUUCAAUACCUGGCCAACACAGGUAACAACCUCUGAAGCAAAAAGUUCCUCAUCGUGAACAACUGGCCCAAGUUUAUUACUACCAGGGACAUCUUUUGCAAGAAAGAGACCAGAAAAACCAGGCGAAGAUUUGGCACGUGAAUCAUCUAUAGACAAUAUGCGUGCGUGAGCUCUUCUACUCAAUAUUAAAGCUGCAUGCAAAGUAUUCUGAGAUGUAGGUGUAUCAUCAGUGUAUUCAGCCUCACCAGUCACCUGAUAAAUUGCAAAAACAGAGAAAUCAAAUGAAUGGCAACGAUCUGCAGCACCUUGGACUAACGAAUGAAAAUAAUCAAAUAGAGAUUUUUAGCUUAUAAAUUGUAGCCAAACUACCAAAACAUGAAGCUAGUUGAAUUUUCUAUCAGAAUUACUGAGUCACAUUAGCAUUUAAAACUCUCUCUACAAGAUGCUUAUCAACAAAGAAAAGGAAUUUAAUGAUAAAAUUAAUAGACGACAAAACUGAGCUUGGUCCUUGUGUAAAUUAAAAGCAUAGAACUAUUAGAACAUCGAGUUCCCUACAAAAGGUUAUAGACAAAUAGACACAGAAAAACAAAUUACCAAUCAAUAGAGGAAAAAAAACACCAAUAAAAGAACCUUAUCUAAGAUGGGAAAACAUUGGUUACUCAAAUUUGUGUGAGAAUUUAGGAUUUUUUAAAUAGAUUUGUUGCUUUCAAUGGUGAAAGCAAUACUCGCUGGACCUAACAAUUCGUAUCAGAAAGGAUUUGCCCAAAAUACCAAAAGCUAUUAAAUGUAAAAAGCAAUUAGGUUUGCUUUCAAAAUAUCUUUAAGCCAUUACACAGUUUCUAUUUAACAUCCUAUCAAAAAGUAAUUCUAGUUGACAAUAGGGACCAUGUUGAAAUAAGUCUUAACAGAUCUUACAAAUUAAUCAUGGAGCCACCUGGUGCAUUCAACCUUUCGCAAGGCUGCCUAUUUUGACAAGAUUAAAUUGUAAGAAUACAAGUAACAAACUAAGUAAUGACGAUGUAAAUAACUAAGGGACAAAAAAUCGCAAAGUCAUAAACAGCUUAGUUACAAUCUUUUUAGUUCCCAUCAAAUGCCAACAGUACAUAUUGGCACGUGUCAACUAAUUCACCAACAGCUAAGGAAUAUAAAUUAAAAAUGGGCCAAUUUAACAUGUAAUUAAUGUCCCUGGUACCAAGAUUUAAGAAGACUUAAACAAUGCAUACAGAAGUUAAAACUACAGUGGUCGAUGCUUGCAUCAAACUUAUAGGCAUCUUCAUGAAUUUACGUUUUUUUUCAGUUUUCACUUUUCACCAGAUAGUUGAUUAGUUUAGCUGUAUGCCUGUAUGGAUAUGUGGUGUGGCAGAUUUCUGCCAUUGGCAUAUUUAAUAAAGUUACUAGCUAAGCGAUUAUUCCCUUAAAAAAAAACUAAGAUAACAUAUCCCAGAUAGUAACUUGAUUAACUUAGCAUCUGGAUGUGUGAUAUAUAAUAGCUAAAAUAACAGAUCCAGAUGCUGUCCUUAAGCAAUCCCACCAAGAUUUACCUUUUUCAAUAAACCAAAAUAUGUGAUAUACCUGUAGCUUUGAUGAGAGAUGAAUCAUUGGUAGCCCCACGGCUGUUCCAUGUCUAGCCAACUCAUAACUCUGACUUCCAAAAGAAGAAGGCCUUGAGUAGGGCUGUAUGGCUGAUAGUUGAGUGGCAUGCAAACCUUCCUUAAAGUGUCCUUCUACAUUCAUCUCAUGAGUUACCCACAUAAAAAAUUUAAAAAAGAAACUCAGUGUAAGGGACUUUCGGAAUUCAGCCAUUCCGCCUGGUGCAUUCUCCGGAAUAUUAAUGUCCUCUUUUAAUACAUUUAAAACAUCCUCUAACAAUUUCUUAUCCCAUUUCUUUCCCAUUAGAUAUUUCUCUGUUCUUGAUGAAGAGAGAGAAAGCGCGGCGACUCCUCCAUAAACAAUAGAAACAUCAGCGAUAAUCCAGUCUUCAUUUUCUGCCCUGAUAUAAGCACGCAUUCCGGCAUUUACCAAAGCAAUAUCAUCUUCCCUUCUAUGUGCUUGUUUAAACUCUUUCACAAAUUCAAAAGGUCUUGUCCAUGGUAAAAGUAUUGAGAGCAAUAUCUCAUCAUGCCGAAUAUCAACUUUGCGAUAACCAAGAAAGAAAUCUUUGGCAAAAACAGUUCUAAUAUUUCCUUCACAAUCAAUCAGUCGAAACUUCGCAUUUGAAGCCAUCCAAAGGGGGUUUAGGUCAGAUAUUGGACUAGCAGUACAAACAUUUCCACCAACAGAAGCAACAUUCCUAAUUUGUUUCCCAGCAAACCACUUCAGUUGCUCCAAAAUCGCCUUGCAAGAUGAAAUCUCAUGACUAUCUCUCUCUGCUACAACCUUUUGAAGGACUUGUUGGAGCUGUGUUAGUCUCACAGAAGCACCAAUCUCAAUGCCGUCUUCUCCCACGUUCAAUGCAUUAAGCUCCACCACAUGGGUAACACAAAUGAGCACUUGAUACUGCGCAUUUUUGAACUUUGUUUCUAUCCCUACUUCGGUGUUACCAACAACAAGUUUCGCCUCCGGAUAGCAAGACUUGAGAUAUAACACAUGCUGAAGUCUUAGAGGUCUAUACCAUUUUAAACCACCAAAACCAUGUAAACUUAGAGGCAUGAUUUUUCUCAGAAGCAGCUCAGGAGGAAAGAUAAGCUCUUUUUCAUUGUAAGAACUUCCGUCGGUUUCACUAUAGGAAAUGGGUCUAUGUUGUUUCCUGCCACAAGCUUCAGAAGAGCUUCCACACAAACAUGGUUUCCCUGUCGAAGGGCAAAUGGUUUGAUUGGUAGAGGAGCUUGCUGAUGUUGAGUUAGUAUAUAACGAAUCAUCGGUUUUAGCGAAAACACGGAAUGCAUCAAUGAUCGGCCUAUAGCCUGUACAACGACAUAAAUUUCCAGCAAGGUUUUCUUCGAUCUGCUCUUCAGUGGGAGGUUGUUUGUUUGAUCUCAAUAGUGCAUACAUAGACAUUAUGAAACCAGGAGUGCAAAAUCCACAUUGUGAACCAUGAGCCUGAGCUAGAGAUUCCUGCAUUAAAUGUGAUAAAUUUAGUUCCAAACACAAAUAUCGAAAGAAAACACUUUAUACUAAAAGCCAACAGGUGAUUAAAAUUAGUGGAAAUCAGUAUUAGAGACUGCUGACAAACACCUUGAAGUUUUCCGUCAAGAAUAAAAGGAGUACUGAUCUCAAGAUUAAUGAAAUCAGGAUAGAAAGGAUCAAAUAUUUAAUAUUAGGAUUUGUUGAUGCUCCCAAAUAAGAAAUUCACUAAGUCUUCAAGUUUGAACAAUUUAUUCGGUACAACAUGUGAGGCGUGGGGAUUUCUAUUGUGACUACAACCUAGGAGUUUAAUUGAGCUACUUUGAAACCUUAAUAAUUUCAACUUUUCAGGAUGCACCGCACGCUCCGCCAACGAGGAGAUUUAUCAAUUAUCACAUGCAGAGAAAACAAUUUAUAGGCUGUUCGUAUUACAUGGUUGUAGACAUCUUCACUGAGUUUAUUUUGUGCAGAUUAGAGGUCAGAUAUGAAACCUUCGAAGUGCAAAGAUAGUAACAGAAGCAAAUUCAACUAUGAAAGAAGCAAAAUUCUGAUAGGAAGUGGAUUUGUCAUUGGUAUUAACCAUCUAUAGUUUAACAAGUAAUAACUAUAAGUUGUUGGAUAUAACUACAAAGAGAUGAUGGAUUCAAAGGAACACUAAGAAUAUUGUCCCAAGCUAUAAGCUAAAGUAAAGAGCACUGCAAAAUGUUGAGCCACUAUUUCAGAGCAUAAGGUAGAAAUGGUAUAUAAUAUACAAAUAAGGAAAGAGUAAAUGACGGAUUAACCAGCAAGAAAAUUUCUCCCCGCAAAAAGGCUUGGAAACCAUAUAUUUCUUACUGCCAUUAAUUAGUAUAUAUUAUGGAAUAAAUAAUGUCUUCAUCAAACGAAUUCAUAAGAAUAAUAGAAAGCAUCAUAUAUCACAAUAUUUAGAUGGAAGGAACAAAAAGUUUAAAGAACAAUCUAAUACCUGGAUGGGAUGCAAACCACGCUGCCGAUUUCCAAUACCCUCCACUGUAAUUAUAUGCAUUCCUUCCACAGAAUAUAACGGAGCCAAGCAUGCAUUGAUUGCAAAAUGCCUNUUUUCUCAGAAGCAGCUCAGGAGGAAAGAUAAGCUCUUUUUCAUUGUAAGAACUUCCGUCGGUUUCACUAUAGGAAAUGGGUCUAUGUUGUUUCCUGCCACAAGCUUCAGAAGAGCUUCCACACAAACAUGGUUUCCCUGUCGAAGGGCAAAUGGUUUGAUUGGUAGAGGAGCUUGCUGAUGUUGAGUUAGUAUAUAACGAAUCAUCGGUUUUAGCGAAAACACGGAAUGCAUCAAUGAUCGGCCUAUAGCCUGUACAACGACAUAAAUUUCCAGCAAGGUUUUCUUCGAUCUGCUCUUCAGUGGGAGGUUGUUUGUUUGAUCUCAAUAGUGCAUACAUAGACAUUAUGAAACCAGGAGUGCAAAAUCCACAUUGUGAACCAUGAGCCUGAGCUAGAGAUUCCUGCAUUAAAUGUGAUAAAUUUAGUUCCAAACACAAAUAUCGAAAGAAAACACUUUAUACUAAAAGCCAACAGGUGAUUAAAAUUAGUGGAAAUCAGUAUUAGAGACUGCUGACAAACACCUUGAAGUUUUCCGUCAAGAAUAAAAGGAGUACUGAUCUCAAGAUUAAUGAAAUCAGGAUAGAAAGGAUCAAAUAUUUAAUAUUAGGAUUUGUUGAUGCUCCCAAAUAAGAAAUUCACUAAGUCUUCAAGUUUGAACAAUUUAUUCGGUACAACAUGUGAGGCGUGGGGAUUUCUAUUGUGACUACAACCUAGGAGUUUAAUUGAGCUACUUUGAAACCUUAAUAAUUUCAACUUUUCAGGAUGCACCGCACGCUCCGCCAACGAGGAGAUUUAUCAAUUAUCACAUGCAGAGAAAACAAUUUAUAGGCUGUUCGUAUUACAUGGUUGUAGACAUCUUCACUGAGUUUAUUUUGUGCAGAUUAGAGGUCAGAUAUGAAACCUUCGAAGUGCAAAGAUAGUAACAGAAGCAAAUUCAACUAUGAAAGAAGCAAAAUUCUGAUAGGAAGUGGAUUUGUCAUUGGUAUUAACCAUCUAUAGUUUAACAAGUAAUAACUAUAAGUUGUUGGAUAUAACUACAAAGAGAUGAUGGAUUCAAAGGAACACUAAGAAUAUUGUCCCAAGCUAUAAGCUAAAGUAAAGAGCACUGCAAAAUGUUGAGCCACUAUUUCAGAGCAUAAGGUAGAAAUGGUAUAUAAUAUACAAAUAAGGAAAGAGUAAAUGACGGAUUAACCAGCAAGAAAAUUUCUCCCCGCAAAAAGGCUUGGAAACCAUAUAUUUCUUACUGCCAUUAAUUAGUAUAUAUUAUGGAAUAAAUAAUGUCUUCAUCAAACGAAUUCAUAAGAAUAAUAGAAAGCAUCAUAUAUCACAAUAUUUAGAUGGAAGGAACAAAAAGUUUAAAGAACAAUCUAAUACCUGGAUGGGAUGCAAACCACGCUGCCGAUUUCCAAUACCCUCCACUGUAAUUAUAUGCAUUCCUUCCACAGAAUAUAACGGAGCCAAGCAUGCAUUGAUUGCAAAAUGCCUGCACUAGUAACAAUUUCACAGCUAUAAAACUGCAAAACUGAAGAUUGCAUAAAAGUAGCAGCAUGUAUAAGAAAUACUAUACGAAACACAGAUUGGUAAGUGAUAGAGAUAGAGGUCUUUUUGUCCAUUCCCAAUCUGGGAAAUAGAACUUAAGAAUUGAGGUGGAUAAAUGGAAUGAAAAAGAAAGCAGAAAACAUUGACUGCGAAGAAUUUGUUUCUAAUGCAAUGAGUUAAGUAAGGCGAGGAAACUGCUUUGCCACAACUUCCGAAGUUUAUGAAGCAAUAUAGAUGGAAAACACAAUUAGGUACUAUCACAGAUAGGAUAUCUUACAUCGUUUUCUUCAUAUGCUGAUCAUAGCAAGAAGCCAUCACUGUACAAGCUCCACAACCACCUUCACCACAUCCUAGCUUUGUCCCUGUAAGGCCAAUAUCUGAAACAAAUACAAAUAAUAAGACAAAUCAUUAACCAAAAAAAUGAAUUGUCACCUAUCAUCAACAAAGAAUGAGAAGUACUAAAGCUGAAAACAAAAAAAACAGUAGACUCUCUAGUGACACAAGUAUGACAAAAGACAGCUAAGAUUUAGUGUGAUAAAAAGAAACAAAAAUAUCAUAUGUGAAAUGAUUUUUUAGAAUUUAGCUCUUAUCGUGUAGCAAAUGGACAUUUUUCUUAUGUGUUUGAUCAUAUAGUAAAUAGUAGAGAUUACUAGUAGCACAUAUGGCAUGCACCAGCACAGUAUGCACCUGUAUACCAUGCACAUACGACACUAGCACGGUAUAUAUUGGCACUUCAACUUGUUACUAAAAUCUCUUAAAUAAUUGGUCAUACGCAGAAUUGAUAACUCGUGCUAGAAAUUAGCAUGAUACCAUAAAAAAAUAAUAUCAAGUUUAGCAUCAUCACCUCAAUCAUAUAAUCAUCAAAACGUAGAUACCGGCAAAAAUAAUAAAUCGAGAAAGCUUCACAGAAAAUCAGAAGAUUCUUACAACAGGAGGAAACUGCCAAAAGAGAAUUGGUUUAGCAUUUAAACAGUAGAAGUUUCGAGCUUCUAAUGUGGAAAAAAGCUCAAAUGAGCUACUAUUCCCCAAAAAUAGAAGCUCCGGCACCAACCUUCUGCAUCUAGCUGCAGCAAGAAGCCAUUUAACCAGCUUCAAUGUUAGAAAUUUCUUUAGAUUUCUCCAUACAGCUUAAUUCAACAGCACGUCGAAACAGCUUAAUUCAACAGCACUUCCACAGUAGCUCCAGCUCAGCCAAAUAGGCCCGAAGCACUUCACAAUAAGUAACAACCACUAAUAAAGGCCUACCUUUCUUACAGUUGCUAAAACACUGAAAGCUACAGCAUUUUUAGUGUGUUUUCAAAUCAAAAGGUGAAAAAAUAUAAUUCCCAAAAAUUGUGCAAAUAACUCCACAUGCGGAUAUGAUUGAACAUAAUGCAAGUAAAAUCAAUCCCCUAUUAAUUAUGAAAAUGGGUGAAUUAUACAUCCAUUCGAGAUCGAAUGAUUUAGCUUCAAAAAAUUAAUAAAACUUUCUAAAAAAAAUCCAUGGUGCUAAGAAAAGUAAAUACCUAAUCCAAAUAAAUAGUACAAACAAAUAGCAAAACCAUAUAAGACAAGUGCGCAUUAAUUUUAACUUAAAUUUCAUAACUUUAUCCAACGAUUCCAACCUCUCUCUCAAUCGAACGAAACCAACGAAAACAUUUACAUUUUUGUUCGGCAAAUCAAAACCAUCCAAACGACCAUCCCAUGCAAUAGAAAAGGGUGAAAAGAGAGCCUAAAAAUCCAAUCUUUUAGCGAAAAUCCCCAAAACCAAUCCAAAAAAAACUCAUUAAAACACCAAUUAAAAGAAAAAUUAAAAACUUUCAACAGGGCCGAACCUCUGAGGUAUUGGAGAAGGGUGAGGUGGGCGAGCCCAUCGGGGAGCACGCGGCGCACGCCAUUAACGUAGAGGAUCGCCUCCUUCGACCACCCCUCCCCCACCACCAACUCCUCCAUCUUCGUGAGAGAACCCAUCCCAAACCUCUCGAAAUCGCCUCCCAAAGUCAAUGCUUCGAUCACCUCAAACACGAUAUAGGAGAUGAAUAUACGAGGAGAGGGAGAAGACAAUUUUUUUUUCUUUUUUAAAUUGUAGAGCUUAUCGCAAUUGCUGCUUUUCAGAGAAGCUGUAGCAGCUAAAGAAUACCAAAUGUUCGGUAUUGGCCAAUUUGCAUAAAAAAUCCGUCAGUUUUGAGAUUUUGCAAAACUGCAUUGCAUUUUUUAAUUUUACAGAUUCGAAAUAAAUUUUUAGCAAAUUGAUCAAAAUACUCUUAUUAUUUUUUCUCUCGUUCUUUUUUUUCCUCUCUCCAAAGAAAGCAGUGGAGGCGGAGGCGGAAACGGCCCGCCUCGCCUCUCACCCUCAUGACCUCAGUCAUCGCCCACGCACCUCCCGUCUUCCUAGCAUCCAACCCUACAGAGACCGUGCCGCGACUUUUUUUUUUUUCCUUUUCGAGCCUCCACGGCCUCCGAUGACGUCUAUCUCACCCUCUCUCGCCCUUCCCCGCCCUUUCCCCCUCCUUCCUCCUUCGCCUCCUCCGUCGUCUUCUCCGCCAACGCCGACAAUGCAGAGGUCACUGCGGUGCCGUAGCCUCAGAGCGCGGGAUCCUUAACGGCGUCGUCGCUGGAGCCGUGACCGUUGGCGAAGAGGUAUGAUCAAAAAAAAAUUAUAGAAGAGGAAAGAAAAAAAAAUAAAGAUAAAAAAUUAUAAAAAAAAGAAGAUGAAGAUGAAACUGCACUUUUAAAAUAAAAUUACACUGUUUAAAAUUUUUUUUGCAUUGUUUUAAAUGAAAAUUACAUUCUUUAAGAUAGAAAUCACACUCUUUAGAUCAUAUUUACAUUAUUUAGGACAAUGUUGCACUCUUUAGGUCACACUUUUUUUUUUUGAUUAAAUAGGGGUUGCUAAAUCACACUUUUGGUCCCUAAGCACGUAACUGUUUGACCGAUCGUCGAAUUUUAAUUUAUUACUAGCAACUAACCCGUGCAAUGCACGGAUUUUAAAUUUAUCUUUUAAUUACAUUUUUUAUAUAAUAUAUAUUAAUUUUUACAUAUUAAAAUUUUCUAAUAUAUUUUUAUUACAAUUUUUAUAUAAUAUAUAUUAAUUUUUACAUAUUAAGNAUGUAUUCCAUUCUUUCUUUUUUUUUAUUAUUUGAAGUUUUUUAUUUGUAUGUUAAUGAGAAUUUCAUUUUCCAAGAAAAAUGUAACUGUAAUAAUGACUUGUCAGCUGUAUUUUUCAAGAUAAUUAAUAUAUGUACUUCUUAUGCAUUUUGAAAGAGGGGUAGUUUGGUCAUCUUUUUGAAAAAACGGAUCGAAUCUGCAAAAACGAAAAAUGUGGCCCGAUUUUGCAAAAGCCCAAAACUAGUGGAUUUUUUAUACAAAUUGGCCUAAAUUCAAUGACUAAGUAUUGCUGUAUUAAUAAUGUAGAAGUGACACGACUUCUUAAUUAUUAUCGGAUCAUCCUUCACAACAUUACCGCAUCACAUCACAUCAACUAUGUUAAACUUUGAGGAUCAAAUGCCACACGAAUCAUAAUUUGAGGGCCAAUAGUGUAAUUUGGUUGACAAUAAAGUGUCAUAAUUAAGGCUAUUAAAAAAAAAAAAGUAUCCGAGGAGACGACCGAAAUAACGAAGCGCACGGAUUAGAGAGAGAGAGAGAGAGAGAGAGAGAGAGGGGACGGGAUCUUAUGAUCUCAUCUCACCACUCUGCGUCGUCUUCUUCGAUCAAGCGCUCCGACGCGUAGCUCCCCACGAAUCCCGUCCCCAACACCAACAUUCGAUGAUUCGCCCCCGACCCCGACAUCGCCGCCGCCGGCCGACGAUCGCCGGCGGCGGUGGGAAUCGGAACGGGGCGCCGCGAAUCGCCGCCAUGUUAGGAGAAGGAGAGAGAAAAGGAGGAGGCGCGCUGAGACUCAGGUGAGGAGUUCUUAAUCACGAGGGACUAAUUAGUUGGGUAACAAUUUAAUUAAACCCUGCGCGGUUUAGCUCAGCUUUUAGAUCUUUUCUCUUUUCCAUCUUCUUCCUCCUCUUCCUUCAGGUCCGCCAAUGUCACCCUCCCUUUCUCCUUCCAGAUCCUCACGAUCGCGUCGCCGCACAUACGCCCCAACUUCGCGGCGAAGUAGAUGCCCUCGCCGGAGCACCGCGCGACGUAGCCGGUGAGGGCGCAGGUGCUCGGGGAUAGGGUGGGCCUCGACGCAGACGAUGAAGAUGACGCUGCCAGCGAGCUUGGGUGCGGCCCGUGCGCUGGCGGCGGCCUAGAAGCGGCGGAUGGCAGGCUUGGCAGCAGCGAUGCCGGUGCCGACGGUGACGUGGUCGCACUUGGGGAAGACCCAGGUGCUAUAUUUUAUUUUACAAAUUGUAUAGCAAUAGUACCAAUAAAAAGCACUGUAGUUUAUGAUUAUGUGAUUUAUAGAUACAACACUUUACUAUUCUCUUUAAUGCAAAACAUUUUGCUGGCAAAAUACGCAAUAUGUAUGAACAAUGCUAGCACUACAACUCUAUUUCUUUGCUAGGCUUUUCAUCUUUUUUAUUACUAAAAAUUUUAAAACAAUUGAAAUCUGUAAAUUACGCACCGAGUGUAUCUCCGACGGCGAAUGACUGAGAAGAUGACCAAUCGGAGUAGAAACUAGCGUUGGGCCGUCGGCACCGGCAUCGCCGCCGCCAAGCCCGCCAUCCGCCGCCUCCAGGUCGUCGCCCGCGCCCAGGCCGCUCCCAAGCUCACCGGCGACGUCGUUGUCAGUGUUCGCGUCGAGGACCACCCCAUCCUCGAGCACCCGCACCCUCGCCGGCUACGUCACACGGUGCUCCGACGAGCGCAUCUACUUCGCCGCAAAGUCGGGGCGCAUAUGCGGUGACGCGAUCAUGAGGAUUUGGAAGGAGGAUGGAAAAAAAAAGUGUAAAUUUUACCAAUAUAGUGCAAUAUUAUCCUAAAGAGUGUAAAUAUAAUCUCAAAGAGUGUGAUUUUUGUUUCAAAAAGUGUAAUUUUUAUUUAAAACAGUGCAAAAAAAUUUUAACAGUGUAAUUUUAUUUUAACAGUGUAAUUUUAUUUUUUUCUUUUUUUUUUCUAUAAUUUUUUGCCUUUAUUUUUUUUUUUUCUACAAUUUUUUUUUGUCAUGCUUCUUCGCCAACGGCCACGGCGCCAGCGACGACGCUGCUAAGAACUUUCUGCUCCGAGGUUCCAGCGCCGCAGCAACUUCCGCGGUGUCGACGUCGGCGUCGGAGACAGCCGAGGAGGCGAAGGAGGAGGAAAAAAGAGAGGGCAGGGAAUGACGAGAGAGGGUGAGAUAGGCGUCAUCGUCGGAGGUUGUGGAGGAGGCUCGGGGAGGGGAAAAAAAAAAGUCACGGUGCGGCCUCGGCGGGGUCGGAAGCGAGGAAUGCGGGGGUGCACAGGUGAUGGCGAGGGCAUGAGGGUGAGAUGCGAGGCAGGUUGUUUCCGCCUCUGCCUCUGCCUCUCCAAAAAAUAAAAAAAGAAGAGAGAAAAAUAAUAAUAAUAUUUUAAUCAGUUUAUUAAAAAUUCGGAUUGAAUCGACAAAAUCUAAAAAAAGGGCCCAGUAAAAAANAGCAAAAUCAUGAAUACAAAAAUAUAAAAACAAACGCCUAUAGAUAUAGGUCUUUUGAGAAUACGCCUUAGAAUCAUAUUUUUAUGACUUCUUUUCUAGAAUUUUUUUUAUAAAUAGUCUUCUUGAAACUUUUAUUUACAAAAAUAGGCCUCCUUAAAAUUUAUUUGUAAAAAUAGUCUCCAAAUUGGCCAGGUCAGCAAGCAGGAAUAUGCGGUAAAUGGUUUACCGCAUAUAUAUAUGCGGUAAACCAUUCACCGCAUUUGUGGGACCAUCAGCUACCUCAGUCACGUGUGCUGGGAGCAUGAAAUACCGCUUUUAAAGGCGGUGAAUGGUUCACCGCUUUUAAAUGCGGUGAAUAGUUCACCGCUUUUAAAGGCGGCGAAUGGUUCACCGCUUUUAAAUGCGGUGAACCAUUCACCGCCUUGGAUCAUUUAUACCCCACCGCGCCCGAGCCCCUUUCCUUUCUCUCUCGCUCACCCGCGCGCGAGCUUCUCCACUGUCUCCCGCACGCUCCCUCACUCCUCUCUACCUCACUCGAGUCCGACGCCGCCGUCGCUGCCGCCGUCGCCGGCGCCGCCGACUGUACCCGCGCGCGAGCUCCUGCGUCUCCAGAGCUUCUCCUCUCUGUCUCCCGCACGCUCUCUCACUCCUCUCUAUCUUACUCACUCCGACCCGAGUCCGAGGCCGCCGUCGCUGCGGACGCCGCCAUCGCUGCGGACGCCGCCAUCGCUGCCGCCGUCGCCGGCGCCGACUGUACUGCUUCUGCCGUGCCUUCUCUUCUCAGCAUUGCAACGACAUUGUUCCAUUAGGUUAGUGGUGAGAGGUUUGAGAAAAAUCUAAUUAUUUUUGAAAUAGAGUUGAUUGUUUCUAAAUAAUNAAAAAAAAAGCGUUUUUUUUGGAUAAAAUUUAAGUAUUCGCGAAUCGCCCAAAAAAAGUUCGGCCCUCGCGGGUCGCGGGUCUCGCGGGUCGCGGCCCACCCAAAACAGAAAACAGAAAAAGCCCUUCGGUCCGAGUUCGCUUCCCUCCCCGCAAAACAACAAAAUCACUCGAUCAAAAAGUUUUUGCCCUAACACUCCCUCUCACCCCUGCGGCCCUGCCACCGACCUCAGCCCCCAUCCCUUCCCCUCCCCCUCUUCCCUUCCGGCCGCUCGCCGAACGCCAUCGGAAGCCCCCGCGGCGCCACAUCGAAGAUCGUGUUCUUCACUCUUCAUAAAUCGAAACCCUCCUCGUCGCCUCUUACUCUUCCUCUUCCGCUUCCGCUCUCCAACGAUGGAUCAGUAAUCGGGUGGUUCUUUACAAACCAGGUACGAAUCGGGUGGUUCUCUCUCUCUCUCUCUUUCCUUUAUUUCAUGAUUUCAUCUUCUCUUAAUUACUGACUCUAUGGUUUUGAGUACCAAGACCACGACUACAAAAUGUACCUCAUACUUCUUUUUUUAUCUUUAAUCUCUACAGCAUACAUGAAUCUUCGAAGAUACCAUAGAUAUUCUUAAAACAGAAUAAUCAGCAAAUAAGGUUUUAAGACCUCAAUAGGUUGAUAUGCGCAGCAGCAUACAUGAAUAUCCUGUGCUUGUGUGCUUUAUGUUUAUUCAAGCUUUCAUGUAUGCUUAUUAUAUGUGGAAUUGUGAACUUUAUAUAUCUUUUAUUUGUUUACUGUUUAGACUUUAGAUAUGCUAGUAUGCACUAUGCAAAGUGCGAGUUUUAUCUUGUACUUUGUUUCCAACUAUGCUUGUAUGUGAACCUUCUAUGCUUUAUAUUUAAAGUCUAAACAGUAAACAAAUAAAAGAUAUAUAAAGUUCAUAAUUCCACAUAUAAGCAUGCAUAAAAGCUUGAAUAAACAUAAAACAUUCAAGCACAGAAAGUUCUAGUGGGAUUUGAGUCUUGCGACACCACCCGAGUACACUUUAGANUCUUAUAUUCUUAAGAAUUAUGAGUAUUUAUGCUAAUAGCAUAAAUCUUGAGAGAAAAAAAUUUAAUUUAAUAGCCGAAUUUUUUAUCCCGAAUAUUUAAUUGGUGAACGUAUAAUAUCCGUAUAAAUCACUUAUCCGAAUAAUUGGCGAAUCCAUUUUUUAGCCGUAUUUUUUAACAAAUUUAAAAAUUAGAAGACGAAUUUUAUCUGAAUUAUAUCCGUACCGAAUUUUUGCCGAAUCCGAAUUAACUAACUCUCUCUCCCCCCUCGAAACCCUAGUCGACUCCACUGCGCCUUCUUACUUAUCUAGGGCUAGGGUUUAUCUCCACCCCUCUCCUUCGCAUGGGGAAGAAGCGGAAGCACGCGGAGGCGGCGGAGGCACCGAAGAAGGACGACUCGGCUCCGCCGAGGCCGAAACGCACUCUCACUGGUUGGAAGGAUGGCGAACCGGAGAAGCCGAGCGAUUCGAGCGCACACACUGUUUUCCGCAACAAAGAGAAGGUCUUGAUCACUUGCUCGCGGCGAAUCAACUAUAGGUGAGCUUCUGAGAUCGAGAUCUCACAUCGUUGUGUAGAUUUGAGUUGUUCAUUCCUUCCUUUUUGCCUAACAUUUUGGUCUGUUUGUUGGGGAAUUGGAAUUGAUGGUGUUGGUUAGGUAUCGGCAUCUUAUGCUUAAUGUAGUGUCUCUGCUACCCCACUGCAAGAAAGAUAGCAAGGUCGAGUCGAAAGAGAGCAAAGGGUCGACUCUGAAUGAGCUGAUCGAGCUGAGGAAUUGCUCUAGCUGCUUAUUCUUUGAGGUAUCCCCUGCAUCUCGUGUUAUUUAUUGAAGUUCCGUGAGAUGCCGAAAUAUGGUUGCCGUAAAAGUUUGGUUUUUAUGUUUUUUUUUUCCCCUGCUACUAACUGUUAGAUCUCCAUAUUUUUGUUUAGUGUUGUAUAUUGUAUUACUUGGCCUAGCUUCUACUUCUGCUUUCAGCUGCAGCAGCCAUCUCUGGUAGUGUUUGGCAAGUUGUGUCGGAUGGCUGAGAUGAGCUUAGUGCUUCUCCUAGAAGCAUUAAUACAUCCUAUAGCUAUGCCAAGAGACCAUGAGCAUGGAUUCCUGCUAAAUAGUCAGUUUUAAUUUGGUUUUCAAAUUUAAUUGUUCAAUGAAUUUUAAUGUGAAGCUUUUAUGUUGACUUUUCUUAAAAGUUUGAACAAUUAUAAAUUUAUAAUUGCUGAACCUUCUUAUACGUUUGCUAUAUCAGUGCAGGAAACAGAAAGAUCUUUACCUCUGGAUGGUUAAGUCUCCAAGCGGGCCAUCAGUCAAGUUCUUAGUUAAUGCUGGUGGGCAUCUUUGCUGUUGAACGUUCAACUUGUUGAUGAUUUCUCUCUGUAUUUUGAGGUUGCAUGUACAUAUACUCUUAACUGUGCUAUUAUCUUAUUUUAACAAACUCUGUACUCUUUUCUUAUAUUGACAGUUCACACGAUGGAUGAAUUGAAGCUUACUGGCAAUCAUCUAAAAGGUUCCCGCCCAUUGUUAACAUUUUCAACAAACUUCGAUAAGGAACCUCACUGGAAACUUGUAAAGGAGAUGAUAACUCAGGUGAUUGUUGGUCUUGCCUAUCUUUAAUACUUGUAUGCUUAAGCAUUUUCCAGAGGUUGUCAGCCUAUCAGGUUUCAUCUGUUACAUUAGCAACAAUUUUCUUCAAGGCCCAUGAAAUAAUAGCUAUAUUUCGUUAAGAGAUACUCGAGUUUAUGAACACAAAAUUAUCUAUGUCAUGAUUUGCAUACUUCGAAGAUUUACUUGCUCAUUCUAGCAUGUAGCAAGCUUUGUAUUUAUUUUUCCUCAGUAACCUUUUUACUCAUGUCUCGUAUAAAUAAUAAUUAGUUUUCUUAAGCCUUUGUUUUUAAUAUGUUGAGUGUUUUCAUAAAAAAAACCAUUUUGAGAAGCGUUAGUCUGCAGAUUAAAAAAGGAAAAAAUGCCGUUGCCAUUUUUGAUUAAUCAUAGAGAUGUCCGUGUAAGUUCAUAUGCUCUCACUUCUUGUACAAGUAUAUUAGAGCAGAACCUAAUUUGUAAGGCGCUGGUAAGGCGCGCGGCCUAGGCCUUCUGAGCUGCAAGUGAUGAUGACAGUGGUUAAACCUUAUUUCGAAUUAUGCAUGUUUCUUAAAAGAGUCUAAGCAAACGUGAUAUAUUUCUUAAAGUUGUAGUGCUGGCAGAAUAUGCUAAAGGCUGACUUUUUCCUUCCCUAAUUGCAGAUAUUUGCGACACCGAAAGACCACAGGAAAUCUAAGCCUUUCCAUGACCACGUGUUUGUAUUUUCAAUUUUGGAUGAUCAUGUAUGGUUCCGGAAUUACCAGGUGAAGUAGCAAUCUUUGACCUAUCUGAUGGUUUUUUUGUUGCAGAUAGCUGAAACUCAACAUUUUUUCCAAAUUCUUUUCAGUUUCAUAAGCAUUUCUACUACUACUAUGUUUCAUUAGACUAGGGUGUUGGAAUAAUUCAUAAUGCUACGUGAAAUGAGUCCCACUUAACUGGUUAAUUGCUGAGUAGUUACCGGUUAAUUUUUUGUGAUGAAAGUCGGUGUAAUGCGAUGCAUGUGUAGUAUUACUGUAAUCUGCUUUAAGAGGUGGUUUUGACUCCCAUUCUUAAUUCAUCAGAAAUGUUAUAAUUUUUCUUAUGUUGCUAAUAACUUUUUGUUUCGGUAAUACUUGCAUGAAUAUAUUGAAAGCUUUGUGUUAUUUACAUUUUACAAUUUUGAAAGAAACUUAAAACAUACAGAGUAUUUUUGGGACGGCGGCAAAUAAGAACCUCACUAGUAGGAAAUCAUAGCAAUGAAUUGCUACUUCUAUCACAUAAGAUCCAUCCUCAAGUGGAAAUUACUUUCAAAACAGACUUUAAGCUGGAGUCUAAUUUGUUUGCAGAUUUCUGUUCCCCACAAUGAGACUGAUAAAGUGGACCGAGGAGGUUUAGAUAAAAUGACGCUUGUCGAGGUAUAUAUCAAUCUUGAAGUUAUAAAGGAAAUAAUAGUAUUUUUGGCACAUGUUUUAAUUGAAUUGUUUCUUAAUAGGUUGGUCCAAGGUUUUGUUUGAACCCGAUCAAGAUAUUUGGUGGCAGUUUUGGUGGCCCGACGUUAUAUGAGAAUCCAUUCUACGUAUCACCAAAUCAGGUAUGCAUCUGUCCUGUGUCCUCUUUUAUUCCUCUUCGGCAAGAUGAGCCACUGAGAUAAUGAACCAGUUCUUCUGUGAACAGUGCCAGAGUUUGUCAAAAAUCCGACAAACCUUUCCUCUUAUGUACAUGAUUUACUGUUUAUGUUUUUCUUUCUUUCUUUCUUUUUUUAAAAAAAUCUUUUGCUUAUCUAUCUUUAUAAGUAACUUCCAUUUGGCUAACCCGGAAAAGUGCUGAUUGAGCAGUAAAGUUGUUCAAAGAAGCACCGACGGCAUUUUUUUGCAGAAACCUCGAGUUAUAUUCUGAUUGAAAUUUGCAGCUAUUUAUACUAAUGUAUUUGUGGACUGUCCCUUAUCUGACACUUUAAAUUCAAGUUUGUUACUGUCUUAAUUUCAUUAUCCUACUGGGCUUUUGGAUCUGUUUGUGUUUACUGAUUUGUUUUGCUUUGCAUCAGAUCCGGGCUCUGGAGAAGAGGAAGAAAGCCGGAAAGUAUGUGAAGAAGGUGAAGGCCAAGACGAGGCGAAAGAUACAUGAAAUGUCGAACGCCUUGGAGCCGGACGAGUUUGCGGAUUUGUGGAAGGAAUAAAUUAAAUUUUGUCAGCUCACAUAAAUUUCGAAUUUCAGGAAAUUUUGACCUCAUGUUUCCUACUGGCUUUGAACUUGGAUGUACUUUUCUUCUUUCUUAGUUUUGAAUGUUCUGAUGUUUUCUCCACCAUGGUCUCUUUUCUUUACAUUGUUCAUGUAUGAAUAUACUUUGUCAUUAUCUAUUUAAAAAACAAUGCUGCUCUUUUUAUUGAUUUCAUAAAAUACUUUCUUUUGGGAUUGGAGUCAGAAUUUUAACAUUUGAAUUUGUACUUAAGAUGUCCAGUAAGCUAGAAAUUGUGGAAGCAUAAGAAUAUUGAGGUUUGAAGCUGCUGCUUCCAAGGGCCUGGAAGCUAGUCAGAUGAGUGACUUCAAACUACUUUUUAGAGUAGAAAAGCUGUUUCAGAAGCCAGACUAUGGAUUUACUUGUAUGUGGUUUGUGGCCAACUGCCUUCUGUUUCUUACAUAAAAAUUAGAUGAUUGGAGGAGGAUCAAAUGAUUUGCAGUAGUGCAAUUCACCCAUUUUAGGAACCAAGCAUGUUUUCUCAUUAAACUUAAUUUGUUUGGUAUUAUAAAUCUAGCACUAAAAGAAAAUAUCAUGUAAUAUUAUACCAGUGAAAUAUUCUCUAAUAAAUACGCUAUCAAGUCGAGAGACCAAAUCAAAAUAUUCUCUUUGUUUGGUAUCUGUAGUUUUAUCAAGAACCAAACCAGAACCGGAGUGAUUUAACCAAAUCUGAACAGAUUUGAGAACAGUUGUGUAUUUUGGGAGUCGAUUCUCAACUCUCGCCUUUAAUAAAAUAAACAAGCUUACCAGAAACCAGCUUGUAAUUUAUUACAUCAAAUCACAUAUCUGCAGUUUCCUGUAGUUAUGUGUCCAACUGAUCGGAAAUCGGCUAUUUACAGCAGUAAGAAGCGAACAAUCAGACACUGAGUUUCGGGCGGUAGUUCGGGCUUGCAAAGUGCUUAGUGAAAGAGUCGACGCAGGCCAUUCUGAUCCUCUCGGGUGUUGCAGGAUUAUCGAGCGGGAACCACUCAUUUAGACCCUCCUCGGCUCGUGCUGCAAUGAUUGCAUCUUUGAUCGCGAAAAACACAGAAGAUGCAAGGAAGAAUGGCGGCUCGCCCACAGCUUUCGAAGAGUGAAUUGCCUUCGGAUUUGGAACACCCUGCAGCAUUAUCAGUAAAAGAUUCGCAAUUAAUCAACACAGGAAAUGCACAGCUCUGCAUAAAAGAUCGUAAAAUACAAAAUACCUAAGCCUGAUGAAAUAAUGGGUCUAAGAGUAAAAGACAUCAAACAAGCAAAGAUGCGACUUAGAUGAAUUUAAAGUCGUCGAUUAUGAACUGUUCACAAUGAUACACCGGGGAGAGUAAGAUUGCAGUCUCUUAAACGGAGGGUAAUAGAAAAUUAAAAUUUCGAGGAAAAUUUCUACUCGCCGAUUACAGAAAGAGACUAUUUUAAAAGCUUAGUACCUUAUAAAGAUCUGCGAGAUACAGAACCUUACAUAUUUUGCACUUUGUUGUUUCUCACUAUUGAAGAUAUCUUCUUUCUGUUUUGUCAAACAAGUUGAACAUAUUUUCCUCAAAUUAUAGAAUUUAAUAGCAUAUAGAUGUAUAAACAUACCAACUCCAAAAUAUGAAUGAAUCACACAGGCUGCAAUAGUACUAAUUGGCAAGCAAAAAACCACUACCUUCAAAAGUGAAACCUUGAAUUUCAGAGGUAUAUCAUUUACUGAAGGAAUUUUGUAGGUUCCAGGGCCGCAAGUAAACAGGUUGCCGGAUCUAAUCCACUUGUGAUGAGCAUCUCCCCAUUUCAGCUCUUCCAAGGCAACCCAGCCUAAUCCUUGUAUAAAAGCUCCUUCAAUCUACAACUCAAAGAUUUAUGGUAAAAAUGAAAGGGGUUUAAAAAAAAAAAACAUAGAAAAUAAAGGAACCCUAAAAUAGCAAAUUCAUAAGAAUCAUAAACUAUUCAUUCUAUAUUACUCAAGACUUAAUAAAUAGAAGAUGAAAAAUAAUUUUCUAAGGCACCUGUCCAAUGUCAAUGGCUGGAUUAAGCGAAUAUCCGAGAUCCAUAACAAUAUCUGCUGUUCUUGUAUAGAAAUCUCCAGUUAAAGUGUCUAUUUCAACCUCAGCAAAUGCCGCUCCAUAGGUGUAGUAGCUGAACAGAGUUCCCUUACCCACUUUCCAGUCAAACCCAACAUUAGGUGUGAUAUAAAAACCGUGAGCUGAGAGAUCUAUUCGCUCCAUGUAGCAUGCACACACUAACUGGCAAAAUUAACAUUUGUGAUUCAGAGACGUCGUGAAAUACAAAUAAUCAAAACCACAAAUCUAUCUCGGUAACCACAAUAGAUUGCAAUUCUAUAAUUAUGUGAAUCCCAUUAAAAUUUCAUUUAAGAGUGGAAAAAUUUAAAAUUUCAUCGCAUAAACUAGUGAUUCAGAGCAAAGAAUUCAACUGGCUGCCAUACAUAGCAGAAGAUAUUGAGAAGGCAAUACCUCGGCAAAAGAACUGUGCUUUUGUCUGCAAGCUAUAGGUUCCAUGCGGGCCUUAAUUUGCUCACAAGCAUCUAAAACUGCAGCGCCAUACAAAUCCGAACUUGCAGAAGCUGCCGUUGCUGAUGCAUUAGGAACCUAUAAAAAGAAUACUACCAUAAAGUUCAUAUAUUAUAAAAUGUUCCGACUGAAUUAUCUCCAUUGGUUUAGAGUAAUACUGACCUUAUCAGUGCUUGUUUCCGAUAUGAAUACAGAACUGAGAGGAAUAUUAAAGGAUGAGGCAGCAAUUUGGGCGACUUUUGUGUGUAGGCCUUGUCCCAUCUCCACUCCACCAUGCGUCACUAGGACGGUGCCAUCAGUAUACACUUGCACAAGAGCGCCAGCCUGCAGAGCCAUUCAUCGAUGUAAACCAAAUAACAAGGAAAAAAAGAAUGAUGAAGAGAAAAUAGAAACCCAUAUAGAUUCUCCCCCAUCUGCUCCGCCACCCCAGGGUUAGCACCACUGACCUAAAGACGGAACUGUCAUAAUUACUUCAUUCAUAACUACAACCUAGAAAUUGUGUAUAAUAUUCUGCUGCAUAUCUAUAGUUGUUUCUCAUGAUUUACACCAGAUAUGGAACAACAUAUGUUAAGACUAUACAAAAAGAGAAACAGGAAGUACUGCAGGGAUGAAAAUUACUAAGCCUCGGUCAUGUAUUUUUCAGAGGCGCAAGAAACAUUAAUUGUUCAAAAACAAAAUAAAGAACUCACGCAUUUGAUAUCCGAAGCAGAAAUUCAUCUGUGGUAUUAAUAGUAUUCUGCAAAUUCCUUGAAUACCUGAUUCAUGUGCUUUGCAGUGAAGGAGAUGCCGAAUUUGGUGGGAACCAUUGCAACUCCUCGCUUUCUCCAACGAUUUUGACGGUUAAAAGAGCUUACUGCUUCGCGAGCAUUUUGAAAAUCACAAGAGAUCUUUAGUUCAUCCCACACCUGUCUGAUUGUGCAGUUCUCAAGCACUUGUCCAUAAUGAAGCACUGUCCCUUCAUUGUGAAAAUUAAGCUCCUGAAUAUUACCGAAUUUAGACAAUUUCUAAUGGUGAAAAACAAGAAUGUUGACAAAAGUAAUCUGGAACAAACAAGUAUUUACUACUUACCCGUAUCUCCUCAGGACUUUUCCGAAGCUCCGUAGCUAUACGUUGAAUCCAGUUCUCAGUAAUAAGCAUGCCCUGUGGGCUCCCAAAACCCCUGAAAGCUGUAUUACUUGGGAAAUUUGUAAAGCAAACUUGGCCUCGAAUCUUGAUGUGGGGUAUAUCAUAGACAUUUUCUGAAUUAAACAUAGCACGCUCCAGGACUGGAACAGACACGUCCAAUGAAUUCCCACCAUUAUUGUAGAUUUCAAGAUCCAAUGCCAUAACCUUCCCUUCAUUUGUAAACCCAACCUGAAGUAAUUAUAUCGAGAAAAAGAAAAAAAGAAAAAGAAAACUUUAGGUAACCAUGAUAUGAAAUUUAAAUACAAAGGAAAUGUAGGACCCGAUCAUUACUUCACGCAAAAUUGUUUUUGUAGCUUUAGAUUCUAUGUAUACCAAUAAUUAACAUGACAAUUAAGCUUCUUGCAGAAGCUUAAAGAUUGAGUUGCAUCUGAAAAAUCCUAACUGUAACAUGCUUUACUACUGCAAAGUGCAAGGACAGUCGAAGUUUGUCAACAUGGAACCUAGGAAAGGGGAGCAACCAUUAUCGUGACCAUCUAUUGUCCUUGAACAUGUGGAUUAGUAACAAUUUAAUAGGUCUAAUCUAGCCAUAAGAGUAGGGAAUACCCAAUGCAAAUAAAUGGCCAGAUCUAGGGUAUAUGAAGCAUGCACAGAUGUGCACUCUAAAGAAUAAUAAUACAAACUAAACAAACCGUCGGUACAUUGCACAAUUGAAGUUAUGACAUAACUGUACACAGGUAGCACUCUGAAGCAACAGAAUUUAACUCUUCCAAAAAAAAUUGAGUAAUUAAUGAAAUCAGUACCUUGUAUUUUCCAAGGAAGCUGUGCCGCUGUCCAGUUAUCAUCAUAUCGACAUCCCUGUCUAGAACAAUCUUCACUGGUGUUCUUAAAUGAUAUGAUGCUACAGAUGCUGCAGCUGCAAUGAAGGAAGAUCUGGUUUCUUUCCCACCAAAGCCACCACCAAUGCGCUUUGUCUUGCAAACGACUUUCGAUAAUGGUAGAUCAAGAACAUUGGCAACAUACUCCUGGUUCCUUUGUGGUGCCUGAGCACCAGCAAAGGGAUGCGCAACAUUAGACCAAUUUAUAAUGUGUAAAAAAGAAUUUAUUAAAUUUAGAAGAGGAAUGAGAAUUAAAUAAAUCUAUUGCACGAAAUUUCCUCAGGGAAACGAAAGCUACUUCAUGCAUUGAUAUCAUCUUACAGUAGAACUUUCACUAAAAUUUUCAGUGACACUCGGAAGUAAGUCAACAUUGCUUUCAUUAAAUAUGAUUUCACCAAAAAAAACAAGACUAGAUCGAUGGGUUAAUAGGUGCCCCACCAAAGUUGUAAUGGUUGUCUCUUAAGUUUGAUCUCAUUAAAAAAAAAAAACGCAGACAUUACACCUUUGCACUUCAUUUGCACAAAGGAGUAAGCUCGAAAGAAAUUUGGCUCGUCUUUUAAUUAUUCUCUUAUCAUUUAGCGGUAUAUCAUGAUUUCUGGAAGUAGGCAAGUCCUAGAAUAUCCUUACUCGACAAAAGCAUGACUUAAAGAAUAGAAAUGAUUCAGCUAUAAAUAUUUAGGAUAAGAGCUUUCAGAAACCACGAGAAAUGGUAGACCAUCAAACAGCGCAGGCAUCUUGGUAUCAAAAGAAAAGUCACAUGAAGUUAUACAAAUUUAGCCCCGAAAGUUGACCAAGAUACCGAUUUUGUUCUUAGUUGCAAUAAAUUUAGCCCUAAAGUUUGAUUAAUCUCAUUCGCAAAGUGUCAAAGUUAACAAAGCAAAGUCUUAGGUUCAAGUGGGCACCCUUUUCUGAUGAUAGAUUAACAUAUAACAUAUUUAUUAUGCAAAACAACCUUCAGGGGCAAAUUGUUAAGAAUGAAACUAAGAGGACGAAACCGAAAUGAAGGUUCACCUCCAGAGACUAACAUUGCAGUUAACCCUACAGCUUAUCGUAUGGAUUGAAGCAAAAAGAAUGGAACAUACUUGUGUAGAGGAGAUCAUAUGUACUUCAUUUCCAGAGUCAACUGUCCAGACCAGACAGCUCUGGGGCUCCAAGUAAAAGUGCUCUUGACCUCCAACCUGAACCUCCCCUUCUAUAAUCUUGUCGCAUGAACCUGACUUGAAACACCAUUCGGCAUCUCCGUUUACCAAGCUCCUCGCAGUGUUAGGAUGAAAACUGCCAGAAUCAACAGCAUCUCUUAUAGACAAAAUUGCUGGCAAGUCUUCAUAUUUAAUCUCAACUUUAUUUGCAGCAGCUUUUGCAUUUUCAUGAGUAUCCGCCACAACAAUCCCGAUAACCUAUAAAUGACAAUAGUAAGGAAAAUAGGAUAUACAACAGCGUAUUGCUCCACUGAAACAUUUCCAUUUACACGGGUAAUAACAGCAAACUUUUCACUUAAAUGGGUAACUAUACAAAUAUGAUGUAUUUGUGGGGUAUAUGUGCAAAAGGCCCCAAAAAAGAAGUGAAUAGAGGUUCAAUACCUGGCCAACACAAGUAACAACCUCUGAAGCAAAAAGUUCCUCAUUGGCAACAACUGGUCCAAGCUUAUUACUACCAGGGACAUCUUUUGCAAGAAAAAGACCAGAAAAACCAGGUGAAGUUCGGGCACGUGAAUUAUCUAUAGAUAAUAUGCGUGCAUGAGCUCUUCUACUCAAUAUUAAAGCCGCAUGCAAAGUAUUCUGAGAUGUACGUGUAUCAUCAGUGUAUUCGGCCUCACCAGUCACCUGAUAAAUUGCAAUAACAGAGAAAUCAAAUGAAUGGCAACGAUCUGCAGCACCUUGGACUAACCAAAAAAAAUAAUCAAAUAGAGAUUCUUAGCUUUUGUAGCAAACUACCAAAACAUGAAGCCAGUUGAAUUUUCUACCAGAAUUACUGAGACUCGUUAGCAUUUAAAACUCUCUCUACAAGAUGCUUAUCAACAAAGAAAAGGAACUUGUUACGACAAGCAUACAAACGAAAAACGAAAAUGGCGAACACAAAAUAGACAAACCACAAGCAGAAAAAGAAGAACACACAGAUUUACGUGGAAAACCCUUUGUAGGGAAAAACCACGGGCGAGGGAGGAGAGAUCUUCACUAUCAAAAGGGAAUACAAUAUUGAAGGUACAACCAACCAUGAUCUGUAGCCUCUAGGGCAAAAACGAAAAGGAAACUCUUUACGGGUUUCGGAUCCGAUCCAUACAGCGGGGGGCUCUGCCCCCCCCACACCCCCUGGCAAAUGUCAAUGGUGGUCUACAGGCUCGGACCUGUCAGCCCGAGCCCUCCGCUUCCCACCACAUACAUUCAUUUUUCCUUUCACAAUUUUAUUUUUCAAUUUGGUCGCACCGCGAAACUGUCGGCAAGUUGAAAUCCCGAACUGAAGUCGAUUAUCAAUUUCGAGUCACAUCUAACAGAAUUUAAUGACAAAAUUAAUAGAGGACAAAACUGAGCUUUGGACUCCCCUGUUUUUCGUGAUCAGGUUGGGGCUUUGGACCUGUGUAAUCUCGCCUAUGUACCUAUUUACACUUUCAAAUAGGGUAUAUCCCUGUUUAAUCAAAAAAAAAAAAAAAAAAAACUGAGCUUGGUCCUUGUGUAAAUUAAAAGCAUAGAACUAAUAGAAUAUCGAGUUCCCUACAAAAGGUUAUAGACAAAUAGACACAGAAGAACAAAUUACCAAUCAAUGAAAGGGGAAAAAAAACCAAUAAAAGAGCGUUAUCUAAGAUGGGAAAACAUUGAUUAUUCAAAUUUGUGUGAGAAUAUAGGAUUUUUUUGUUUCUUUCAAUGGAAAAAGCGAUACUCGCUGGACCUAACAAUUCGUAUCAGAACAGAUUUGUGCAAAAUACUAAAAGCUAUCAUAUGUAAAAUGCAAUUAGAUUUGCUUUCAAAAUAUCUUUAUAGCCAUUGAACAAUUUCUAUUUAACAUCCUAACAAAAAGUAAUUCUAGUUGAGAAUAGGGAGCUAGUUGAAAGAAGUCUGAACAGAUCUUACAAAUUAAUCAUGGAGCUACCUGGUGAAUUCAACCUUUUGCACAAGGCUGGCCUUUUUGACAAGAUUAAGUUGUAAGAAUACAUGUAACAAACUAAGUAAUAACGAUAUAAAUAACUAAGGGACCAAAAAUCGUAAAGCCAUAAACAGGUUAGUUACAAUCUUUUUUCCCAUCAAAUGGCAACAGUACAUAUUGGCACAUCAUUAAAAGGCAUCAAAACCAAAUAAUUCGCCAAUAGCUACGGAAUAUAAAUUAACAAAUGGGCCACAUUAACAUGUAAUUAAUGUCCCUGGUAACAAGAUUUAAGAAGACAUAAACUACAUGUACAGAAGUUAAAACUACAUUGGUCGAUGCUUGCAACAAACUUCUAGGCAUCUUCAGGAAUUUUACGUUUUUCAGUUUUUGCUUUUCACCGGAUAGCCAAUUAGUCCAGCAGUACGGAUAUGCGGUGUGGCAGAUUUCUGCCAUUGGCAUAUUUAAUCAAGUAACUAGCUAGGAGAUUACUCCCUUAAAAAAAAAAAAAAAGAGUUCGACAGACUAUAAAUAACCUCAAUAGAAUCAGGUAAAGUUCUCUUCAAAUCAAGCAUAUAAAUAACAAGACAACAUCACAAGAUCACAUGCAACUUUCAUAACUUCUAGCAGAUAAAUGGAUAACAGUAUAGCUCGUGUAUUAUUAUCAACUAAUAAAAGGCAUAUACAAUAACUAACAAAACAGAUACAGAUGCUGUCCUUAAGCAAUCCCACCAAGAUUCAACUCUUUCAAUAAACCAAAAUAUGUGAUAUACCUGUAGCUUUGAUGAGAGAUGGACCAUUGGUAGCCCCACAGCUGUUCCAUGUCUAGCCAACUCAUAACUCUGACUUCCACAAGAUGAAGGCCUUGAGUAAGGCUGUACAGCUGAUAGUUGAGUGGCAUGCAAACCUUCCUUAAAGUGUCCUUUUACAUUCAUCUCAUGAGUUACCCACAUAAAAAAUUUAAAAAAGAAACUCAGUGUAAGGGAUUUUCGGAAUUCAGCCAUUCCACCUGGUGCAUCCUCCGGAAUAUUAAUAUCCUCUUUUAAUACAUUUAAAACAUCCUCUAACAAUUUCUUAUCCCAUUUCUUUCCCAUCAGAUAUUUCUCUGUUCUUGAUGAAGAGAUAGAAAGCGCGGCGACUCCUCCAUAAACAAUAGAAACAUCAGCGAUAAUCCAGUCUCCGUUUUCUUCCCUGAUAUGAGCACGCAUUCCGGCAUUUACCAAAGCAAUAUCAUCUUCCCUUCUAUGUGCUUGUUUAAACUCUUUCACAAAUUCAAAAGGUCUUGUCCAUGGUAAAAAUAUUGAGAGUAAUAUCUCAUCAUGUCGAAUAUCAACUUUGCGAUAACCAAGAAAGUAAUCUUUGGCAGAAACAGUUCUAACUUUUCCUUUACAAUCAAUCAGCUGAAACUUCGCAUUAGAAGCCAUCCAAAGGGGGUUUAGGUCAGAUAUUGGACUAGCAGUACAAAUAUUUCCGCCAACAGAAGCAACAUUCCUAAUUUGUUUCCCAGCAAACCACUUCAGCUGCUCCAAAAUCGCCCUGCAAGAUGAAAUCUCAUGACCGUCUCUCUCUGCUACAACCUUUUGAAGGACUUGUUGGAGCUGUGUCAGCCUCACAGAAGCACCAAUCUCAAUGCCAUCUUCUCCCACGUUCAAUGCAUUAAGCUCCACCACAUGGGUAACCCAAAUGAGCACUCGAUACUGCACAUUUUUGAACUUCGUUUCUAUCCCUACUUCAGUGUUACCAACAACGAGUUUUGCCUCCGGAUAGCAAGACUUGAGAUCUAACACAUGCUGAAGUCUUAGAGGUCUAUACCAUUUUAAACCACCAAAACCAUGUAAACUUAGAGGCAAGACUUUUCUCAGAAGCAGCUCAGGAGGAAAGAUAAGCUCUUUUUCAUUGUAAGAACUUCCAUCGGUUUCACUAUAAGAAAUGGGUCUAUGUUGUUUCCUGCCAUAAGCUUCAGAUGAGCUUCCACACAAACAUGGUUUCCCUGUCGAGGGGCAAAUGGUUUGACUGGUAGAGGAACUUGCUGAUGUUGAGUUAGUAUAUAACGAAUCAUCGGUUUUAGCAAAAACACGGAAUGCAUCAACAAUCGGCCUAUAGCCUGUACAACGACAUAAAUUUCCAGCAAGGUUUUCUUCGAUCUGCUCCUCGGUGGGAGGUUGUUUGUUUGAUCUCAAUAGUGCAUACAUAGACAUUAUGAAACCAGGAGUGCAAAAUCCACACUGUGAACCAUGAGCCUGAGCUAGAGAUUCCUGCAUUUAAUGUGAUAAACCGAGUUCUACACACUUAUAUCAAAAGAAAACACUUUAUACUAAAAUCCAACAGGAAAUAAAAAUCAGUAGAAAUCAGUAUUUGAUACUGCUGGCAAACACCUUGAAGUUUCACCUCAAGAAUAAAAGAUGGACUGAAUCAUGAUUUAUGAAAUGAAGAUCCAAGUCUAGGGACAGAAAAGACCAAAUGUUUAAUGUUAGGAUUUGUUGGUGCUUCCAAAUAAGAAAUUCACUAAGGGCCGGUCUCUGUGUUUGAACAAAUUAUUCGGUACAACAUGUGAGGUAUGGGAAUUUCUAUUGUGACUACAACCUAGGAGUUUAAUUGAGCUACUUUGAAACCUUAAUAAUUUCAACUUUUCAGGAUGCACCGCACGCUCCGCCAACGAGGAGAUUUAUCAAUUAUCACAUGCAGAGAAAACAAUUUAUAGGCUGUUUGUAUUACAUGGUUGUAGACAUCGUCACUGAGUUUAUUUUGUGCAGGUAGGAGGCCAGAGAUGAAACCUUCGAAGCACAGAGAUAGUAACAGAAGCAAAUUCAACUAUGAAUGAAGCAAAUUUUAGAUAGGAAGUGGAUUUGUUGUGGUAUUAAACCAUCUUAAGUUUAACAAGUAAUAACUAUAAGUUGUUGGAUAUAACUACAAAGAGAUGAUGGAUUCAAAGGAACACUAAGAAUAUUGUCCCAAGCUGUAAGUUUAAGUAAAUGGUGCUACAAAAUGUUGAGCUACUAUUUCACAGCAUAAUGUAAAAAAUGGUAUAUGAUAUACAAAUAAGGAAAGAGUUAAGUGGAUUAGCCAGCAAGAAAAUUUCUCCCAGCAAAAAGUGUGGAAACCAUAAUUUUCUUACCGCCAUUAAUUAGUAUAUAUUAUGGAAUAAAUAAUGUCUUCAUCAAAAAAGCAUCAUAUAUCACAAUAUUAGAUGGAAGGAACAAAAAGUUUAAAGAACAAUACCUGGAUGGGAUGCAAACCACGCUGCCGAUUUCCAAUACCCUCCACUGUAAUUAUAUGCAUUCCUUCCACAGAAUAUAACGGAGCCAAACAUGCAUUGAUUGCAAAAUGCCUACACUAGUAACAAUUUCACAGCUACAAAACUGCAAAAACUGAAGAUUGCAUAAAAGUAGAGCAUGUAUAAGAAAUAGGAUACGAGGCACAGAUUGGUAAGUGAUACAGAUGGAGGACUUUUUGUCCAUUCCCAAUCAUGGAAAUACGAUAUAUCAUAAGAAUAAUAGAACAGAACUUAAGAUUUGAGGUGGAUAAAUGGAAUUAAAAGGAAACAGAAAACAUUGACUGCAAAGAAUUUGUUUCUAAUGCAAUGAGCCGAGUAAGGCUAGAAAACUGCUUUGUCACAACUUCCGAAGUUUAUGAAGCAAUAUAGAUGGAAAACACAAUUAGGUACUAUCACAGAUAGGAUUUGUUACAUCAUUUUCUUCAUAUGCUGAUCAUAGCAAGAAGCCAUCACUGUACAAGCUCCACAACCACCUUCACCACAUCCUAGUUUUGUCCCUGUAAGGCCAAUAUCUGAAACAAAUACAAACAAAAAGACUAAUCAUUAACGAAAAAAUGAAUUGUCACAAGCUGAAAAGAGAAAAACAGUAGACUCUCUAGCAACACAAGUAUGACAGUGAGACAGCUAAGAUUUAGUGUAAUAAAUAGAAACAAAAAUAUCUUAUGUGAGGCGAAUGGACAUUUUCUUGUGUGUUUGAUCAUAUAGCCCGCGCUUCGUGGCGGAUAGUUAGUAUUUCAGCCCAUUAAUAUAUAUAGUUAUUAAAUUUUAAGAUUGAAAAAAAUUAUAACUAAAGAAAUGCCAAAAAAAAAAAAAGUAGUCUUAUGUACAUUAUAAAAAUUAACAUUUUUUAUUAAUAUUUUCUUAAAUUUUAGUAUUUGUACAGUUAAAUUAUUCUAAUAAUACAAAAAUUCAAUCAAAUUAAUAGUUUUGAUAGCUAAUUUAUAAAUAAAUUUUUUAACUAAAAAGUUAUAGCAGAUUUUUUUACUAAAAAGUUAUAGCAGGGAACUUAUUUCAAAUUGAAGAAAAGGUGAGGGUUUCUGUUAAAAUUGAUUGAAGAAAGAAAAAUUAUUGCAUGCACCUGGUGCAUAUGAAUACUCCAUACACCACAACUUAUAUUAGAUGACUAAUAUUUUAAUAUCAAAUUUUAAUUUUAUAUAUUUGAUCUACAAAGUCUAAUAAUUUAAAUUAUGUUUGAUAAAUUAAUUUUAAAAUAUCUAUUAAAGAAUUUUAAGCAUACGAUGUAUGUACAAAUAUACACCUGUUAUAGAGAAUAUUUAAUAGGGUGCGCUCAUAAUUCCAAAAGAGUGGAGAAAUCUUUGCUUGCACCUGGUGCACACCAAUGCUCCAUACACCACAUAGAAAACUAGAUGAUUGAUAGGAUAUUUGAUAAUUAAUAUUGUAAAAUAAUAUAAAAUAUAAUAUAUAUAUAUAUAUAUAUAUAAUAUAAAAUAUUUAAAUAAUUUAUUGUAUUAUAAAAAUUAUAUAUUUUAGAGUUGGUUUACGGUGCAGUAGGCACGUCUAAAAUUUUUAUUGGACAUGUGAUAAGCUCCCAUUGGUUCGUGCCUUAAUUGGCAACAUGGCUUCGUGCCUUAAUUGGCAACAUGGCUCUAUAAAAAACCAUUUUCUUGAUGUGGCCGAACCAUCAAAUUAUAUAUUCUAUGGUACAGAUUACUGGUUCUUCUUACCAGCUACCAAAGUAGCGCAUACGCCGUGCAGUGGCACAUAUGGCAUGCACUACCACAGUAUGCGCCUAUAUACCAUGCAUGCAAGUACCACACUAGCACGUUAUAUACGAGGCGAGUACUGGCACUUCAACUUGUUACUAAAAUCUCUGAAAUACUUGAUCAUACGCAAAAUUGAUAACUCGUACCCCUCAUAUCAAGUUUAGCAUCAUCCCCUCAACCAUAUAAUCAUCAAAAUGUAGAUACCGGCAAAAAUGAUAAACUGAGAAAUCUUCACAGAAAAAUAAGAAAAUUCUUACAACAGGAGGUAACUGCCAAAAGGGAAUUGGUUUAGCAUCUAUAGGUGGCUGACAGCAUCGAUAGGAAAUUUCGGUCUGAACAUAAACAGUAAAAGUUUUGAGCUUCUAAUGUGGCAAAAAGCUAAAAUGAGCUACUAUUUUCCAAAAAUAGAAGCUUCAAUAUCAAGUUUCUGCAUCUGGGUGAAGCAUGCAGGAAGCUGUCUAACCAGUUUCAAUGUAAAAAAAAAAGAAAUCCCUUUAAGGCUUCUCGUAGCAGCUUAAUUCAACAGCACUUCCGCGGAAGCCCUAGUGAGGCUGAACAAGCCCAAAGCACUACACAAGAAGUAACUACCACUAAAGGCCUACCUUUCUUGCAGUUUCUGAAUCACUGAAAAGCUACACCAUUUUUAGUGUGUUUUCAAAUCAAUGCACCCGUUUUUCAGGUCGAAUAAUUUAGCACCAAAAAAAUUAAUAAAAAUUUCUCAAAAAAACGCAUGGUGCUAAGAAUAGUAAAUAUCUAAUCCAACUCAUCUAUAAACAGUACAAACAAAUAUCAAGACCAUGUAAGACGAGUGCGCAUUAAUUUUAACUUAAAUUUCAUAACUUUAUACAACGAUUCCAACCUCUCUCUCAAUCGAACGAAACCAACGAAAACAUUUACAUUUUUGUUCGGCAAAUCAAAACCAUCCAGACGACCAUCCCAUGCAACAAAAAAGGGCAAAAAGAGAGCCUAAAAAUCCAAUCUUUUAGCGAAAAUCCCCAAAACCCAUCCAAAAAAAACUCAUUAAAACACCAAUUUAAACCAAAAAAGUAAAAAUUCGCAACAGGGCACGAACCUCUGAGGUAUUGGAGAAGGGUGAGGUGAGCGAGCCCAUCGGGGAGCACGCGGCGCACGCCAUUGACGUAGAGGAUCGCCUCCUUCGACCACCCCUCCCCCACCACCAACUCCUCCUCCAUCUUCGUGAGAGAGCCCAUCCCUAACCUCUCGAAAUCGCCCCCCAAAACCAACGCUUCGAUCACCUCAAACAGGAUAUAGGAGAUGAAUAUACGAGGAGGAGGAGGAGGAGGAGAAGAAAAUCGUGGAGCUUAUCGCGGUUACUGCUUUUCAGAGAAGCGGGAGCAGCUACAGAAUCACAAGGUUUCGGAAAUUUGCGCUUUUUUUUUUUUAUUUUUAUUUUUAUUUUUUGGCUUGGAACUUGUUUUAUCUUUUGAAUAGUGAAACGGUUGCAUCCAUCGGUUUUUUAUUCGUUAACAAUUGCACGAUACCCCCUCAACUAUAGGUAAUUUUGAAUUAGGCUCCUCAACUGUAUAUUUAGGGCUCUUUUUGUAUUUAGCCUCCUAUAAAAAAAAUUUCUACAAAUAGUUCUAAAAAAUUAUAUUUACAAAAUUGAUCCUAUCCCCGUCACGUGAGCGUCGAUAACAAUGAAGGUUAAGUUGAAUAUGGUGAACCAUUCACCAUGUCCAAAUACGACGUUUGAGAGUCCUUCCUAAAUCUCAAAUUUCGUAUUUGGACAUGAUGAAUAAUUUGUUGUAUUCAACUUAAUCUAAAUUGCUGCUCACGUGGUGCUCGUAUGGAGCUCACAUGGCGGAGAUUGGACCAAUCUUGUAAAUAUAAAUUUUGUAAGGCUAUUUAUACAAAAAAAUUUCUAAAGGGACUAAAUGCAAAAAAACCAUUUUAACAUGUUUUAAGUUUUUUUUCAUCUUUGUUUGAGUCCCUUUAUUAGUGAAUUAAAUUAUAUUUUAAAAAAAAUCUUAAGCAAAUUUAUUAAAUAUUAUGAAACAACAAUUUAUCUCUAAAAAGUAAAGCUGCCCAAAAAUUAUAUCAUUAGUAUUUUACCCUCGACUAGAUUAAAAUAUCAAUAAAAAAAAAAGUUCUUGUUUGGCACUGUUUCCCUUUUUAAUUUUUUUUUAAACAGAUGAAAUAUUAUAGGAGAAAAUAACCAAUUGCUUAAAAUUCUUAUAUUUGAGCUACUUUGCUCGGCAAUAGAAAAAAAGAAAUUUGGAAGUAAUAUUUUUUGCGUCUAAAUUUUUUAUUAUUGUUAUUAUCUGUCACUUAAUCGAGAUACAUUAUAAGAUAAUCAACUAUAUAUAACAAUAAAAAAAGAAAUUUUCUACUAGUACAUCAAAUUAUAUAUAAUUAAUCUUUUUUAAAAAAUAAAAAAUUAUAUCAAUACCAACUAAAAAAGGUUUAAAAUAUAGUAAUUACAUGGAUAAUGUUGCGUUUUCAAUCAAUUAAAUUACUCUCCUGGAGCUAAGCCAUAACAUCAAAGUUUUUUGAAAAAUGUAGUAUUAUAUUUUCUCUCAAAAUAAAAAAUAUAAUAAAUUUGAAAUAGAUGAUGUACUUUGAUUGUCACAUAGUAUAGUAGAUAGAGUUGGUCAAUCAACUGGGUUCAAAGAGGAAUAUUUUUUUUAAUAGCCUUAGAAAAUACUUUAAUUAUAAAAAUAUUUUUCUAAAAAAUUUAUUUACAAAAGUAAGUUUAUACAGUAAAUGAAUUAUCGCUUUUUAAAUAUAUAUGAUAAAUUAUUCACCAUUUUUUUCAAAAGAUUAAAACUAUUUUUAGUGUUUAAUAAUAUACAUCUUUUAAAGUUUGGAUGUAAGAAAUAUAUAAAUUAAGAUAAAAGCGAUGAAUCAUUUACGAUUUUUAGAAUACAGCAAAUAAUUUACCGCGUUUAUCUGCUUAUUUUUACAAAUAAAAAUUUUGUAUGACUAUUUCUAUAUUUAAAAGAUUUUAUAAGCUUGGUAGUCUAAACUCCUUCAAAGAGGGUCUGUUUCAAAAUAAUUGAUAUUGGAGGGGCUUCUACGCGAUAAACUUCUACGCAAUUUUAUCGCUUUAUAUUUGUCUCUUUUGAAGGGAUUUUUCUUGUUUGGGUAUUUAAAAAUGCCGUCACCUUUUUUGGUUUGAAACUGGAAAGGUCGCGAGGAUGAGGAUUGAAAAACGUGACCGGAGUUUUCCGGGCUUUUUUAUAACAUAAUCCUUCAAAAUUUUAAAAUUUAGAAAAUGAGCCUGUCAAAAUUUUAUUUGAAAAAAUAAUCCUCUUUUCGCUAUGUGGGCACCACGUCGAAAUUUUGCUAUAAAAACGGUAAAUAAUUCACCGCUUUUAGUGCAAAACAUUCCAAACUAAUCGAAAUUUGUCUAAAUUUUGGAGUGAAAUAUAGAUAGACGGUGAAUGAUAAGACAGUGAAUCAUUCACCGUCUUCACAUAUAUAUUAUGAAGACGGUAAAUUAUUCACCGCUUUUAUUAUAUAUAUGUGAAGGCGGUGAAUCAUUCAUCAUCUUUAUAGCAAAAUUUCAAGGUAGCGCCCACAUGGCGAAAGGAGGAUUAGUUUUUCAAAUAAAAUUUUGACAGAAUUAUUUUGCCAAUUUUAAUUUUUUGGGAGGUCAUUUUAUAAAAAAGCCCGAGUUUCUCAAUGCAAGCUGUCCUGAAGGGAUUUUUUUCAAAAUAAUUCUAUAAAAUUUUGUAAUUGAGUAAAUAAUUCUAUAAAUUUUUUUUUAGCAGACUAGACCUUCUUUUGUCACGUAGAAGCGACAUUAAAAUUUUCUCUCAAAGACAGUGAAUGAUUCACCACUUCCAUAAAAACAGUGAACGAUUCACCGUCUUUCUAAGUUUCCACAAAAGUGGAGAAUUAUUUAUUGUAUUUCGCUUAUUUACUAUUUCUUUCUAUAUCUCAUACAAUUCUAACUAUCAAAUAAAAAUUCUAAUAAUCCACGUAUAAUCCUAACAACCUUACUUUUUUUUUAUAUUCCAUAUAAUUCACGUAUAAUUUUAAUGAAUACGGCGAACGGUACAAUGCCAUGAGAGAAUGCGGUGAACAAUUCACCGCCUUUAGAAGGCAUGAGACAUUGCGGUGAACGAUUCACCGCCUUUAAAUGACAUUUGGUAGGAUUAU